UACGAGGGGGGCGAGCGUUGUUCGGAGUUAUUGGGCGUAAAGGGUGCGUAGGCGGUUUGGUAAGUCUGAUGUGAAAUCUAUGGGCUCAACUCAUAGUCUGCAUCGGAAACUGCCGGGCUUGAGUAUGGGAGAGGUGAGUGGAAUUCCUGGUGUAGCGGUGAAAUGCGUAGAUAUCAGGAGGAACACCUGUGGCGAAAGCGGCUCACUGGACCAUAACUGACGCUGAUGCAUGAAAGCUAGGGGAGCAAACAGG
RNAcentral lists this ribosomal RNA (253 nucleotides) under uncultured bacterium. RNAcentral describes it as "partial 16S ribosomal RNA". It matches the Rfam family "Bacterial small subunit ribosomal RNA", at positions 524 to 776 of the family's 1533-position model. The record is from RNAcentral.